Molecule: long non-coding RNA, 6566 nt
Organism: Diceros bicornis minor
Lineage: Eukaryota; Metazoa; Chordata; Mammalia; Perissodactyla; Rhinocerotidae
Exons: 4
Source: RefSeq, a predicted model, not a curated record
CGCCCUCCCCUUUCAGCCGCGGCCCGCGACUCGGUAAGUGGCUUCCGACGGGCUCGACGCCGGAGCCGGCCACGUGGCCUGGGGUCUCUCCGGUGGCAGUUACUAGGCGCGCCCCUCCUUGUCCCCGUGCCCGCCCCGUCCGGGCGGCCGGGACCCGGGUUCGGCCUCAGCUCGGUGUCCCCUCGGGAGAGGCCCUCCCAGGCCCGGGGAAGGAUCACCCUGGGGAGCCCUGUGAGGGCCCCCUUUGGGUGGGGACGUCUUCGUGGUGCCGGGGGCCCUUCCCGGGAAGCACCCUCGUGGCGCCUAAGGCCCCUCCUCUCCCCAGUGGCCGGGGCGCCUGCAGCAUCUCGUGCAUGUGGCCCCGACGCUCAAGGGAUCCGGGCCACAGGGAGCUUCAAGCUCCUUUUUCAAUGAAAAGAUAACAUUUCAAGAAUCAAACUGACCGGGGGCAGAGGCGCAGAGCCCGGGACGGUGUCCGAGUCCUUGGCGCCCUCGGGGCUCCCGCCUGUCCAGCGGUUCCCCUGACCCGCACACAGCCAGUUUAGGAAGCGCAUGUGGUUAUAGAUCUGAAGCGCUUUCCGUUUCCCUGCGAACAGUAUAAUUCCGGUGUUAGCAACAAACCGAGGUGAUUUCGCCCACACAGCCACUCCGCCACAAAUGCCUUUCAGCUGCCACUUUGCACGGUGGUUGGGCUUCAAAACGUCUGGUAGUGAGUCUUGCGGGAGCGGAUAACUGCUGUGAGCCUUAAUGGGGGAGCCUGCAAUUUUCUCCCCCAGGUUCACCUUUUUAGGAGUGACCAGUGCGUUACGCGCCGCAGGACCCUCAUCCAACAUUUUAAGUGUUCUUGACUGGUACACAUUACUGUACAAAUGGUUAUUCUCCGAAUUUAGUAAAAUUUUUAAAUAUCUAAAGUGAGUGAAUGAAGCUGUCAUAGGUACCACUUAUUAGUCACCUCUUGAAAUGUGAGCGUCGUGGGGUUUACUUGUUCUCCUCAGAAUUGUGAGAGACUAUUUUACUGAUUAGGAAACCAAAAGGGAUAUCAAUUUUAUCAUGCUCUUACAGAGGAAUAAGUGUCGUGUUGCAGGCUGUGCUCUAGGCACCCUUUUUCCAGCCAUAUACAUGGGCCCAGAGCCCGUGGACAGCUUUCCCUGCCCCUAAUGCUCCAUCUGGUCAGUAGUGUACAACACGGAAAUGCCACGGUCAAGCUGUUUGACGACUGCUUUAGGUGUGGGGGCUCCUGUUGAGCCAAACUAAACAAUUCCAUGUGAGAGAGCCAGGCAGCAUGACCGGGAAGCGGCUUGAGCCAGCGUCUAUUUGAGGAUUAUGGAAACUGAGCAGGUGCUGAGGACUGUUCCCGGCCUCUGGGCUCUGCUUCCACCUCUGAGAGGUAAACAAGUUUCAGGCUUCCUUUGGUUUUUAAAUGUUAAACGUUUGUUUCACUUCUUCCUAGGUAAAUACUGUUGCCAGUAUUUUUUUGUGUGUCAUUGAUACUAUUCCAUGCUAAUGUAACAAAGAGAUAAAGUUGGAAAGAUUAUGACUACUGAUAUUCUAUUAAGUGGAUUCCCUGAGUAUAGGAAUUUAAUUCAUUAUUCAUUUUACUCUUGGCUGGAAAUUAUAGGUGAUUCCCAAGGAAAUUUGGAGAAUGUAGCUUUUUUACGGGAAUUGUAUUCAAAGGUAGUUUUUUACUUAUUCAUCAAAAGUAGCUAGUAGAUAGCCACAAUAAAAGCCACUCUUUCCAAAAAAAAAACCAUGAAAAGUUAACUGCAUGAUACCCUUAACAUUGUUCUCCCUUUUCUACCAGGUUCAGUGCAGUUCAAGAUACUGAUGAAUUAAGGUAUGGACCAAAGGGAAAGAAUUUGGCUUGAAUUACUAAAUAGUUGAAUGGAAGUCUUGGCCAAGGAUGAGAACUCGAAUCUGAUCGGAUAUGCUUCUGCUCUGAUGGGUUGAAGGAUUUACCUGAGGCCAACUUGAUAGGGAGGAAUUUAUUACAUGCAGUCACAUCCCCUCCCCCCCCCAUUUAAAAAGUAUGUUUUAAAUAAAAAGAAAAAAAAGUCUCCGGUAAAUACAUAAUACUUUGUUAUGCCAAGGAAAAGAUUAUUUUAGAAAAGGUGGAUUUUUAAGUGAUUGACAUUAAUCUUUCAAAAUGUUUAUCUUUUUCAAUGGUGGCUAUUUUGGUAAAUUAACGUCUUUUGAGAAGCUUUUGAGUUUGAGUCUUAUGGAAGGCUGAGGUGAAUUGUUAGCAUUAGUAAGAUAGGAUUUUGAGUAAAAAAUUUGUUUUUUGUUAGGAACAUCACUAUGUCUGAGUUGGCAAUGUGUAGCAGCACAUCGGGGAAUUCUGUUUACUUGUCUGCACAGCUUUUGUAAAUAUGAUUUAGAAACCACUGUCUUUCUCUUAAUAGUAAAUCUUUUAUUGAGUAAUUUCUGAUCUAAUUACCUCUGUGAUACUUCUUUUACAGGGCUGGUGCUUGAAGGACAGAAUUGUGCUUGAAAGAAGCUUUUCAAGUAGAUAAGGAGUAUUUGAACAUGUGACAACUGAUAUACACAGAAUAGAGGUUUUUUUUCUUUGUCCCUUCUAUGGUGGUAGCAGGGGUGAAUUUUGAGAAGGUAAUAGGUCUGAACACAGAGCCUGUUGAGCCCGGCCCCCAUGACCAUGGGUACUUCUGAUGAGCUAAGUUGUGCCAUCUUGCCUGUAGGAGCAAAUAAUGUCCUUCAGAUGCCCCCAUGUGGUUCCAGGUUUGAUACAUUCCCUGCUCCAUCUCCCCUAAAUCCCCUUCCCUAUACCAUCGCAGCAUAGAAUUGAACAAUACCUUACGUAGAAUCUAGCAUCACCAAAGAAAAUGGGAUGAGGAAUUGCAGCCAGUCACACGAUUCUGCAGAGUCAACUUGCCCUCCUUGGCACAGCACACACUCACAUGUUGAGCAGAGCUAAAGCAGGAAUGGAAAGAUGCCAACCUGACUGUUAAACUACCAGGCCGUUCUUUUGUGCUUGAGUGCCCUGAAGAGAAGUGAAGCAAAUCUGGAGUUGAAUGCAGUGUUUUCAAGGAGGACUUAUUAGUUCCAAGGGAGGAGCUUGGUCAUGAAGAGAAUAUCUGAUUAUGACUAGAAAGGAAAUGUGAUCAGAAUACAAUUUUAUGCUAAUGGUUAUGAUUUCAUUGAAAAUAUGAAAUCUUGAGGACUCCAGUCGCUAACCUCUCCUGAUGUGACCUGCCCAGGAUCACAGUUAUGCUGUUGCUAUGUCAGUUCAGGUAAAUUGAGUCACAUAAUUGGAUUUCAAGAAUGGGCAUAUCCCUUUGUUGUUUGAGGUACAGUAGUGUUCCUAAGCACUUGGAUACAAGUAGUUUUUCUUAAAACCAGGCAAAUCUUUGUAGUUCAAAUGAAUAUUCCAAACUAAACUAGGUAUUUUUUGAGGUUCUUAAGACCUUAAAUAUUUAAUCAUAUAACUUGGCAAAUAUUUACUCUUUCUCCUAUGUGUUAAGUCCCAUGGUGGGUGAUUCCUGACUUUAUGGAGCUUACACGGUGUGACUUACCCAUAUUGCUAUGUAAAAUGGAGCCAGUUAGAAUGCCUCAGUCGACUUCUAUUAUGAGGAAUUUCACCUAAUAUCUGAAGAUUCAAUUUUAGGGUAAACUGUGAAGAGACUAUUAUAUCGGUUUACAUCCCCCACAUCACCAUGUUCCCAGAGUGAUUUGGGGUGGCUUAUAAACAAAUAGCAAACAAUACAAUAAUUAGAAGAGGGAGUAAAAGCUCAGCGAGGAGAGAGCAGGGUUAGAAAACCAAGCCAUUGGACCUGGGGUUUUAGGCUUCUGCCAAUUUGGUUCUGAGCCUCCUAGGGGCCAGAGGAAAGAGCUAGCUGCCAAAUUUGUAAUUUGGUACUUGACUAGAACUUUAGAAUGGAGGGGGAGAAGGGAGAGGAGGGCUCAUUUGCAUUCUAGGCUCCCAGGAUCCCAAGUGAGAAGAUACAUUUUUCCCCUCUUGACCUCAAGUACCUUGAAGGGAGAAGUAGAACAGAGAAGGUGUCCAGAUAACUAAACGGGGAUCUAGAGAUCAUGGAGACGGAUGCAUUUGGCUCUGGAGGAGUGAGGUCAGUUGGCCAGUGACCCUUGGGAGCCUGGGCAUACUCAAAGCCAGGGGUAACACCUUUUGAGAGAAAAGCCAUAUUUAGAUUGUAUGAACAGAUAAACAGAGAUGUGUUUGAAAGGCUUAUUUUUAUUUUAUACUCAUAAAGGUCCCCUUUCUGAAAUUUACCUUGUAUGCAUAAACUGAAAAGUUCUGAUUCAGAUAUUUUGUUAUAAAGUUGUGAUUUAUCACAAUCGGGGACUAUGCAAUCACGACUAGAGGCCCCCUAGUGGAGUUUAUGUGUAUUGCAAGGGGCCAGUUGUCUUGAGGUACCCUCAAUCCUUGCCAUCUGCAUUUCCUGAAGGACUGCUCUACAUCAGUCUGUCUCAGAGAUGAAAAGAUAAAAUCCAGUCAAAUCAGUUUGAUGUAUGUCACCGGGAUUUGUUUGUGGGAACAGAGCAGAAUGUUGUAGUUGAUGGAACGCAGCCUAACACCAUUGAUUUUCCAGUUGGACAAAUGCCUUGGCAUGUUACCUCCACUCUUUAAGGCAGAAUAGAGCCCAUUGUAUCAUUUAUCAACCUCCUAUAGUGGAGAAAUACAUGGAACAUUGGGAAUAACCACAGACUCAAAAACCACACUCCAAUACAGUAACCACUAGCCACCUGUGGCGACUGAGCACUUGAAAUGUGGCUAGUCCAAACCGAUAUGUGCUUAGGUAUAAAAAACAUCAGAUUUGGAAGAAUUAAUACAUUAGAAAAUUGUGAAAUAUCUCAAUUUUGAGAUAAUAUUUUGAAUAUAUUGGGUAAAAUGAAAUAUAUUAUUAAAAUUAUGUAAAUGUGAUAGACAUUGCAUUUCUAUUGAGCAACACUGGUCUAAAACAUGAAUCAAAAUGAUCGUGGAAGCAUGCAGAUAGUGGUUCCACAAUCCAGUAGAGAGAGGUUACUUUCCUUCUACAUAGGACCUUGAGGAAAAGUAAGAGUAAAAUUAGCGCUUAAAAUGCAUACUUUACAGGUGAGCAGAAGGUGCAGGUGUGGGCAGCCAGUGCUACUUAGAAGACUUGACAUAAAUUCUAUGCUCACACUGCUAGCACUUCUGGGGAUUCUAAAUAAAAGACUUCAGAAUGUAUUUAUUAAACACUCUUGUUCUGUGCCUGCUCUGCAAGUACUCGUGUGUUCAUUAGAAUAAUCAAGGGCCAAGGGACUUGGUAUGCCAUAUCGUGUCAAAAUACAACUUCCUUAGUGAAGAAUCCAUAUGAAGAACAGUUCUGGUUCCCUGACCUGGUUAGUUUGGGGUGUGUGUGUAUGUAUUUGUGUCUGUAGUAAUGUAGUCUUUCAGGUUUUUUUUAUGGAAGGGAGAGAUUGAGGGAAGUGGCACCAUAAAUACUACAAGAACGUAUAUAAAGUAUAAUUUUUAAAACUACCUUAUGUUAAGCAAAAUGUUCCACAAAAUUCUCUCCUUCUCUCAUUGUCACUUAGCUCUAAAAAGCAAGUCUGUGUAAAAUCCCCUUUUUGUAGUGUCCUUACUACCACCGUCAUGCGCCACAUAUGAUGGGCCGCAUAUACGACACUGGUCCUAUAAGAUUAGUACCAUACAGCCUGGGUGUGUAGUAGGCUGUACCAUCUAGGUUUGUGUAAGUACACUCUAUGAUGUUCGCACAAUGAUAAGAUCACCGUCACCCAACAACACUUCUCAGAAUGUAUCCUGUCGUUAAGCGACACAAGACUGUAAUAAUGAAUUUUUGUCAUUUUCGUUAGUAAAUGGAUUCUUCCUUUAGUUUCCAAUUUCUCUUAAGCACUAGUUCUUAAGAAUGGCUAGAGGGGAGACAAUUUUGUCCUCCUUGGGGGACAUGUCUGAAGACACUUUGAUUGUCACAACUGGGUUGGGAGGGAUGCUACCGGCAUCUACUGGGUAGAGGCUGGAGAUGCUGCAAAAUAUCCUACAAUGCACAGAACAGCCCCCACACCAAAGGAUUAUCUGACCCAAAAUGUCAAUAGUGCAGAGGUUGAGAAACCCUGUCUUAGAAAAUGUCAUUUCCAACAAGGCCAACCUGCUAAGGUGCCACUGAAUAAGCUACAGACUAUUCCUAAAAUGUGACUUUCCCACACACAGAAAAGUUCUCUACUUUAAGGCCUCAGUGGGCUUAAUUGCUAGCAUCAUGGUUCGUUCUUCUAAGUGAACUUAUAUAUUAGAGCAUUUACAAAAUAGCAUUUCAUUAUUAUUUUGAGCAAAGAGCUACCUGGAUUUUCUUCUAGGCUCCUCAAAAGCUAGUUUUAGUGUUGUUUAUAAGUGACCUGAACUCAAAAUUUGCUCAUCACAAACUAGUGGGGUUUUUGGGGGGGGUUUUUUUGGUGAGAAAGAUUGGCUCUAAGCUAACAUGCAUUGCCAAUCUUCCUCUUUUUGCUGAGGAAGAUUAGCCCUGAGCUAACAUCUGUGCCCAUCUUCUUCUACUAUAUAUGUGGGACACCGCCACAGCAUGGCUUGAGUGGUGCUGCGUAGGUCCGUGCCUGGGAUC